This 323-nucleotide unclassified non-coding RNA is filed under the name uncultured fungus. Its description in RNAcentral is "partial contains 5.8S rRNA and ITS2". The record is from RNAcentral. Lineage: Eukaryota; Fungi.
AACGCAAAUUGCGCUCGAGGCUUCGGCCAAGAGCAUGUCUGCCUCAGCGUCGGGUUAAAACUCGCCCUACCUUACCCCUGUGGUGAGGUGUUGGAGCGGUACUGACUGUCUCAGCACACACACAUGUACUUGUGUACUGUACUGGGUCGGUUGAAGUUUGCAGCUGCUGAUACAUGGACCCGUUAUGGGCCUCUACUGGGUAGGCAAUUCGUUGCUGCAAUGCUUUAGUAGAUGGCUUAGGAUCUAUGUGUGUCAUGCACAAACCAGGAAACUUAACCUUUUUUCUCGACCUGAGCUCAGGCAAGAUUACCCGCUGAACUUAA